Molecule: long non-coding RNA, 1823 nt
Organism: Eptesicus fuscus (big brown bat)
Lineage: Eukaryota; Metazoa; Chordata; Mammalia; Chiroptera; Vespertilionidae
Exons: 3
Source: RefSeq, a predicted model, not a curated record
AUAUGGAAGCUCACGUCCCUCAGUUUCAGAAAAAAAAAAAUUCCCCUUCCUUUGCUCUGUUCUCUCUGUAACUGCCAUGGGUGGGAUGUGCUAUCUUGUGCAAUAAUCUCAUUUUCUUAACUCUCUCUCGCAUUUUCUUUCUGUCUUCCUGUGAGAUUUCCUAACCUUCCCUUCCAGUGUCGACCUUGUUGUUUCUGCUGUCACCUCUCUAGUUCUUUCUUGGUCUCUGAAUGUCUGUUGACACAGUCUCUUGUUCUUGUUUUGUAGAUGCAGCAUCUUCUGUUUCUCCAAGGGAGUGUUGUGGUCUUGAAGGGGUUCCCUGCACUGGCUGUUUCCUAGGAGUUCUUUUCCUCUGCUGCUGAUGCUCUCUGCCUCUCAUGUCCCAGGCCGCCGGGUGUGCCUGGUGAUCUUGGCUGUGAGUUCAUAAUGAAGAGCAGGAAACUGAAAACAGAUCAUCGACGCUUCACGCCUGUGGGCAGGGCAUGAGGACAGUAAACAGGCCGGGAGCCCCUGCUCCAGAAUGGCCAAAGACACGUUCCCUGCCUUCACGGGAGAGGAGCUAAGUUCCUGUUUCCUCAGCACCUGCUGUCUGCUUUCACGGCAACCCUACAGCCUAGGGAUCCUCAGCCUUAUCUGCCCAAAGGAGACUCCGACGCUGAACCUGCCACAAGGGCCACAGAGGAUGCUGGCCUGUGCCAGCCUCUGGGGAGAGCAGAGGGUGGCAGCAGUUGCUGGGGUGUGAGCCUGCCCAGACCUGUGGCCCUGCCUGACGUUGGUCCCCCACCAAGCCAUGUGACGAGACCAGGCCACAAGAAAGAGGUUUCAACAAGCGUUAUCGCUUCCUGGAACUCCGACUCGGCGACUUCCCCGAAGACCGGCUGUGCCUGGCGGGCGGGCUGUGAGCAGCGGGGACCAGGCUGCCCCUUUCCUCCUCCGCUGUCUCCGCAGCUGCCACCCUCUAUCUCAGUCUGACUACCUGGAAACGCCCCCCCUCCGGCACAGAGUCCAUAGGCUUGACUGUUUAGCAUCAUCCCCCAAGAGCAGAGGGGGCAGGGCCGGUCCAGAUGCUCCUUCCAAAGGCCUCCGGGCUGCUCUGGCCAGGCUGGACCAGGCUGGACCAGGCUGGGACCCUGGGUACCCAGGAACCCACCCCCUCUCCUCACUGCCCCUGACACAGGCAAUUGCCAAUCAGGCUGAGCACGGAUUUCCUGGCAGCAAAAUGGACACAAAUCUCCCAUCCAUCGCAUCUGCCCACCAGAGUGGACACUUGGCGGGCCUACAAUGUGGGUUCCUGUCUUGCUGGUUUGACAAUCCAGGGUGGGGGGAAAUCCCACUUGGGUAGGGCGAGGAGGUCGGUCACAAACUUCAAGUUCUUGGGUGCCUUUAUCUCUGGGUGGCUGCGAUGACUCUGGAAUAAGUCACUUCCUCAACUCCCCAGUUCACAGAAACCUGGGCUAUAAAUAUAGACCUGGCCACAAUGGGCGGGGCGGGGGGCGCACGGUACCCAGAAUGGGAGGUGGAUGAAGAGAGGAAACCAAGGACAUAAUCUGAAUCUUGUGAGCAGAAGCCUCCGGGCCCUGCCGAUGUGAAGAUGGUAUUCGAUUGAACCGUGUGAAAUUGCCUGCUCUUACGUUUUGGACCUACAAACACAGCAAUUUCAUCUGCUUCAGCCUGACGUGAUCUACCCAGAAUAUUAUUUUAAGAAUUAAAUAAGAUCUUGUGAAGUCCUUAGUACAGUGCCUAUAUGUAACAAGUGCUAAACAAAAAUAGCCCUUAUGUUAUAUUGUAAUGCAUACUUUGUAUCUCCUACCUAAUAAUACAGA